CUCAGAAGCAGCUGGCCCCCAGGGCCCCAAAAAGCUGGAGUGUCACCACAAAGCCACAGGCUUUCUGACCAGGCUGACACUCCUUCCCCCUGCAGGGGCCAUGGCAGAACAUAGAGGAAGGACACAAGGACUAAACAAGGCCUCAGGGACCCAAGGCCCUGGUUCCUUUGACGAUGGUGACUGAUCACUACCCUGCUGCCGAGACAGUGGCCCAAUCUCUCUUCCACUUGGACCCCAAAUUUUGUCAUCUGCAAAAUAAGCUCAAGUGAGAACACCUCCCUUUUGACAGCCUCACCUUUUGUGACAACAGAGCUUAAAGUCAAAGGAUCCAAAUUCUAUUCUGCUUCUGCCACUUCCUAGUAUGUAACUUUGAACAAGUCACUCAACCUUUCUGUGUCUUUCUCCUGUCUAAGAGACCGCUGGCAGGAAGUAAACUGAAAGUCUGAACUACUGUGAACCAAGAGAUGGCAAGGGCAAGACCAGGAAGGGAGGUGCCCAGGAGACAAUGAGCCCUGGACAGUGGAGGAAGGGCAGCAAAGAUGGCUGGGACCACACGAACUCUUUGGGCUGUAACGGAAUCCCAUUCAAACUGGCUCAACCGAAAGGAGUCAACUGGCUCUUUUCACUCAGAGCCUAAUACCAUCUUCAGACAUGGCUGAAGCCAGAAGUCGAAACAGUGUCCAUAAGAA
Long non-coding RNA from Heterocephalus glaber (naked mole-rat), 689 nucleotides. RefSeq lists it as uncharacterized. NCBI's taxonomy places the organism in Eukaryota, Metazoa, Chordata, Mammalia, Rodentia, Bathyergidae. The record is from RefSeq and is a predicted model, not a curated record.